This 244-nucleotide ribosomal RNA is filed under the name uncultured bacterium. Its description in RNAcentral is "partial 16S ribosomal RNA". It matches the Rfam family "Bacterial small subunit ribosomal RNA", at positions 90 to 334 of the family's 1533-position model. The record is from RNAcentral.
CGUGAGCGGCGGACGGGUGAGUAACGCGUGGGUAACCUGCCCCAUACAGGGGGAUAACAGUUGGAAACGGCUGCUAAUACCGCAUAAGCGCACAGUACCGCAUGGUACCGUGUGAAAAACUCCGGUGGUAUGAGAUGGACCCGCGUCUGAUUAGCUAGUUGGUGGGGUAACGGCCUACCAAGGCGACGAUCAGUAGCCGACCUGAGAGGGUGACCGGCCACAUUGGGACUGAGACACGGCCCAA